GUGAGCUGCUUUUUUGAGCCCUGGAAGAUCCCAAUUGGCAGAUGCCCAGCACCUGGGAAACUGUUUCCCCUUCCUACCCACUCCUGGCUUGGAGGUCACAGAAGCUGCAGGGCACCAUUAUGCCUAGAGCAAGGGAUUUUGCUUCUGCUUGGGAUAUUUUCUUUCCUAGGUUUGUUUUCUUUAUACCUUUUCACUCCCCAACUUUUUUUCUGGAAAGGCCACAGAGGAGAGUAAUUCAGCUAUGGAAGAAUAAUGUCAGGUCUGGCGGUCCUCUGCUGUGAGUGUCCUUAUGAGAUGUGCUUAAAAAAUACAGUGAACGGUCAUUUGAGAGAUGCAGAUGAAAACAACACUGAGAUUCCACCUCACCCCACAAAAAUGGCUGCUGUCAAGAAAUCAACCCAUAACAAAUGCUGGCAGGGUUGUGGGGAGAAAGGAACCCUUCUCCAUUGUUGGUGGGAGUGCAGACUGG
This 469-nucleotide long non-coding RNA is filed under the name Fukomys damarensis (Damara mole-rat). RNAcentral's name for it is "lncRNA (ENSFDAG00000030453.1)". Lineage: Eukaryota; Metazoa; Chordata; Mammalia; Rodentia; Bathyergidae. The record is from RNAcentral.